This is a small nucleolar RNA of Sorex fumeus (smoky shrew), 131 nucleotides long. RefSeq annotates it as small nucleolar RNA SNORA9. NCBI's taxonomy places the organism in Eukaryota, Metazoa, Chordata, Mammalia, Eulipotyphla, Soricidae. The transcript has a single exon. The record is from RefSeq and is a predicted model, not a curated record.
GUGCAAGCCUCCAGCAUGCUUGGGUCUGGGGUGAGCCUGUGCUUUCCCACAGGGUUUGGGAGAACAAGAUAAAACCAUCUGAGGCCUUACCCUCCUCAUUCAGAGCAAGGUUAUAGAAAUUUCAGACAAUU